Molecule: transfer RNA, 104 nt
Filed under: Sporisorium reilianum SRZ2
Lineage: Eukaryota; Fungi; Basidiomycota; Ustilaginomycetes; Ustilaginales; Ustilaginaceae
Description: tRNA-Leu for anticodon AAG
Rfam family: tRNA
About the family: Transfer RNA (tRNA) molecules are approximately 80 nucleotides in length. Their secondary structure includes four short double-helical elements and three loops (D, anti-codon, and T loops).
Source: RNAcentral
GGCAAGAUGGCCGAGUGGUCUAAGGCGUAGCAUUAAGGAAGAUAUUCUGAGCAUUUAGGAGCAUCUGGUAUCUUCGGGCGUGGGUUCGAAUCCCACUCUUGUCA